Long non-coding RNA from Anneissia japonica, 220 nucleotides. RefSeq lists it as uncharacterized. Lineage: Eukaryota; Metazoa; Echinodermata; Crinoidea; Comatulida; Comatulidae. The record is from RefSeq and is a predicted model, not a curated record. The transcript has 3 exons.
AUCUGCUACCAACAACAGCAUUCGAUCCAUUGAUGGAGCUUUCGAAGACACGAGUGAGCUUUAUCAACUAAGCUUAGAUGUUAACUUAAUUGAUCACCUGCAAGCGAGGUUCGUUAGUUCAUGGAAAAGCCUCUCCUUAUCAUUGUCGUCCAAUAAAUUGCGGCAUACUAACAUUGACACAGAUGCAUUUGCUGGGUUGCAGAGCUCAUUUUCUUAUUUG